AUUGAACGCUGGCGGCAUGCUUUACACAUGCAAGUCGAACGGUAACAGGCCUUCGGGUGCUGACGAGUGGCGAACGGGUGAGUAAUGCAUCGGAACGUACCCAGAGGUGGGGGAUAACGCAGCGAAAGCUGUGCUAAUACCGCAUGUGAUCUGAGGAUGAAAGCGGGGGACCGAGCAGCAAUGUUUGGCCUCGCGCCUUUGGAGCGGCCGAUGUCGGAUUAGCUAGUUGGUGGGGUAAAGGCCUACCAAGGCGACGAUCCGUAGCUGGUCUGAGAGGACGACCAGCCACACUGGGACUGAGACACGGCCCAGACUCCUACGGGAGGCAGCAGUGGGGAAUUUUGGACAAUGGGCGCAAGCCUGAUCCAGCAAUGCCGCGUGCGGGAAGAAGGCCUUCGGGUUGUAAACCGCUUUUGGCAGGAACGAAACGGUGUCCGCUAAUACCGGGCGCUAAUGACGGUACCUGCAGAAUAAGCACCGGCGAACUACGU
This 491-nucleotide ribosomal RNA is filed under the name uncultured bacterium. RNAcentral describes it as "partial 16S ribosomal RNA". It matches the Rfam family "Bacterial small subunit ribosomal RNA", at positions 29 to 506 of the family's 1533-position model. The record is from RNAcentral.